CUAAUUCUGUACAUUGUCCCACUACAAGAGGAGCUAGAUGCAAGCCCCCUCCCCCACAAUGCUCCAGAAUUUUCCAAAAUGCCAAAGUCCUUUACAGUUCCUGGCUCUGCACAUCAGAUCUUCUAAUGGCGAAACUAGCAGUGAUGAGCCUGAAAUUGUCAGUACUGAAGAGAAAGAAGUCAAUACUACAGAAGUAUGCCCAAUAUGUGAAAACCAAUUUCCCAGAGAGGACAUUGCAUAC
Long non-coding RNA from Micropterus dolomieu (smallmouth bass), 241 nucleotides. RefSeq lists it as uncharacterized. The record is from RefSeq and is a predicted model, not a curated record. The transcript is spliced from 3 exons. Lineage: Eukaryota; Metazoa; Chordata; Actinopteri; Centrarchiformes; Centrarchidae.